Molecule: unclassified non-coding RNA, 240 nt
Filed under: Hevea brasiliensis (rubber tree)
Lineage: Eukaryota; Viridiplantae; Streptophyta; Magnoliopsida; Malpighiales; Euphorbiaceae
Source: RNAcentral
GACAACGUAAGGCAUUGUUUACAUACCGAACAUUUUAAAACUAUAAAGAAUUUAUUUACAUUUCUUUUUUAAAUAACAUAUCUAGUAUAAUCUCACAAGUGGGGGUUCGGAGAGGAUAGCAUGUACGCAAACCUUGUAGAAACGUGAAGAAGCAUUUUUACCUGAACCUAGCAACAAUAACUCCUCUGAUAGACCCAACAAAUGCGUACAAUAUCACAACCAGACAUACCAUUGUAAAGA